RNAcentral lists this ribosomal RNA (492 nucleotides) under uncultured bacterium. Its description in RNAcentral is "partial 16S ribosomal RNA". It matches the Rfam family "Bacterial small subunit ribosomal RNA", at positions 30 to 507 of the family's 1533-position model. The record is from RNAcentral.
AUUGAACGCUGGCGGCAUGCUUUACACAUGCAAGUCGAACGGUAACAGGCCUUCGGGUGCUGACGAGUGGCGAACGGGUGAGUAAUGCAUCGGAACGUACCCAGAGGUGGGGGAUAACGCAGCGAAAGCUGUGCUAAUACUGCAUGUGAUCUGAGGAUGAAAGCGGGGGACCGAGCAGCAAUGUUUGGCCUCGCGCCUUUGGAGCGGCCAAUGUCGGAUUAGCUAGUUGGUGGGGUAAAGGCCUACCAAGGCGACGAUCCGUAGCUGGUCUGAGAGGACGACCAGCCACACUGGGACUGAGACACGGCCCAGACUCCUACGGGAGGCAGCAGUGGGGAAUUUUGGACAAUGGGCGCAAGCCUGAUCCAGCAAUGCCGCGUGCGGGAAGAAGGCCUUCGGGUUGUAAACCGCUUUUGGCAGGAACGAAACGGUGUCCGCUAAUACCGGGCGCUAAUGACGGUACCUGCAGAAUAAGCACCGGCUAACUACGUG